AACAACAGAGCAAUUGGUUUUUUCAAACCCAAACAACAGAGCAAUAUUUUCUGAAAGUCCUAAAAAGCUAACAGCAAAACACAACAGCAAGAAAUUUCUCAAAAAACCUAAAAACUUAAGGAAAAGCAAAGGGAAGGUGGUUUACCUCAUUGAAGAAUCGCUCGUCGAAGAGAACCGAUGCCGGCAUCCGGAGGAUGUCACCGAACCCG
Molecule: long non-coding RNA, 209 nt
Filed under: Lathyrus oleraceus (garden pea)
Lineage: Eukaryota; Viridiplantae; Streptophyta; Magnoliopsida; Fabales; Fabaceae
Description: Pisum sativum (pea) long non-coding RNA (PSAT_LNC036284)
Source: RNAcentral